This 22-nucleotide microRNA is filed under the name Ectocarpus siliculosus. RNAcentral's name for it is "esi-miR3468-3p". The record is from miRBase by way of RNAcentral. Lineage: Eukaryota; Phaeophyceae; Ectocarpales; Ectocarpaceae.
UUCUUUUCCAGGUUGGCUGCGU